AGCAGCCGCGGUAAUUCCAGCUCCAAUAGCGUAUAUUAAAGUUGUUGCAGUUAAAAAGCUCGUAGUUGAAUUUCGGAAUCUGUCCGUCGGUCGGGCUUCACUGUCCGUACUGGCGUGAUGGGUUUCUACCUUCUGAAUAACCGGCAUGUCAUUAAUUUGGUGCGCCGGGGAAGCAGAACUAUUACCUUGAAAAAAUUAGAGUGCUUAAAGCAGGCUAUCGCCCGAAUAGAUUAGCAUGGAAUAAUAAAAUAGGACGGCAUGGUUCUAUUUUGUUGGUUUCUAGGAUCACCGUAAUGAUUAAUAGGGAUAGUUGGGGGCAUUAGUAUUCAAUUGUCAGAGGUGAAAUUCUUGGAUUUAUUGAAGACUAACUUCUGCGAAAGCAUUUGCCAAGGAUGUUUUCAUUAAUCAAGAACGAAAGUUAGGGGAUCGAAGACGAUCAGAUACCGUCGUAGUCUUAACCAUAAACUAUGCCGACUAGGGAUCGGACGAUGUUAAUUUUUUAAUGACUCG
This 510-nucleotide ribosomal RNA is filed under the name uncultured Acaulospora. RNAcentral's name for it is "SSU rRNA". It matches the Rfam family "Eukaryotic small subunit ribosomal RNA", at positions 569 to 1078 of the family's 1831-position model. The record is from RNAcentral. Lineage: Eukaryota; Fungi; Glomeromycota; Glomeromycetes; Diversisporales; Acaulosporaceae.